Molecule: long non-coding RNA, 2070 nt
Organism: Homo sapiens (human)
Lineage: Eukaryota; Metazoa; Chordata; Mammalia; Primates; Hominidae
Exons: 3
Source: RefSeq, a predicted model, not a curated record
CAAUUGGGUACCAUCUUCACUACUUGAGUGAUGGGUACACCAGAAGCCCAAUCCCCACCAUGAUAAAAUACACCCAUGAAACAAGCACAGGUACACCCUGAAUCUAAAAUUAAACAUGUUUAAAAAGCAAAGGCUUUCAGGGGUGUUUGCAAUAAGCAGCCUCUGGGGCACACGUGAAUGUCAAGGAGGUGUGGGCAGGGCACAGGCAGCACCUGCUACACACAGGAACCAAAACACUAGUGCCAAAGCCAGGAUGCUAGGUAAGCAGCUCACUGCAGGGCACGGGGAGCAAGAAGACUGCACAGCGAGUCAUAGGCAGCGCAAGAUGGGGAACUGGGAGACAGCACAUAGCUGAAGAGAGAAGAGCAGAGAGCGGGGGCAUGACACAACACCUCCCGUGGCCACGGAUGCCAGGAGCUCCGCUGCUGAUUUCUGCCCCUGCCCUUCUCUGGCCUCCUAGGUGGGCUUCUAAGUGGGCCCAGGACUCAGCAUCUGAGAGAAGAGUCCUACAAAAUGCAAGACUAAGGCAACAUUGUCAGGCAUCAAAGGUGUCUUCAGGGCCUCUCUUGAUGCUUGCUUCUCUCCCUUUGGAAACUCUGAGUUGUGACCCCUGUGCUCAGUCACCUCCAGCUGAGGCAGGGGCCAGGAUGAUCCAAGGGAACCACAAAUUGUGUAGGAAGCAAUAGGCAACCUGGGAGAAGGUAAGUGCCUGUGUUAGUCCAGGUCUGAGGAUCACAUGCGAAGACAGGAUGAAACAUGCAAGGGUUGUAUCAGCGGAAAUGCCUGGAUGGAGACUAGGUGGAGAACUGGAGGAAGCUGGGGGAGUUGGCAAUGCAGGGCUGACCCACAGAGAAGGAGAGAAGGAAGGAGGGUGGGGUGGAAUCGUCCUAGACUGCCAUGCAGUGGAGGGAGGCACUACAAGGCUCUGGGGACUCCUGGAGCCAAAGGCAGUUCUCAGAGCAGCUUGUUAUCUGUCAGGUGGUAGCUGGGAGCGGCCUUCAGAAAGCGUGACCUUGGCACACACACUGCCAUCCAUUGAUCCAUUUCAGAUCCCAGCAGAGGAUGUCGUUGGUCAAUCACACUCACCCCUCUCCCCACUAGAGAAUGCUCAGAAAUAUUGGAAGGGCACUGGAUUUCCCACAAGUCGUGGAGGGAGUGGCAAAUUCAAAUUCUCCUGAGGCAAAGGCAGUUAACACCAGUAUAUAAGGCCAGCCUGGUGGGGACCGAGGUGAGUGGGAAGCAAUGGCCUCAUCUGAAAGGGGCGUCAUUGGCUGCUGCCACACAGGAGUGUGGACUGCAAUCACCAGGUCUCCUGGACAUCUAGGACAUUCCAAAGUUUCAGGAUCAAGACGGGAUCUACAGCCAUGGGACUGAAUGGAAUCCCCUGGAGAGUAAAUGCAGAAAGAAAACUAAAGGUCCAAGAACAGAGGCCAAGCCCACUGUCACUGUCACAGGGUGGCUUCAGGCGAUCAUUCAAAUACAGGUUUACAAAAGAAGUGAUCCUUCCUAAAAAACCCACAGCCAAAGAGUCAGAAGGACCACUCAAGGAGGCAGCCCCUGCCCCCCCCCCGACACACACUCAAGCCAUUCACUUACCUCCCAGAAAGCAGAAUCUUGAGAAAUUUCAUCCUGAAGAACACACGUACAAUGUUCCUUUUUUCUGUCACCAUUUAUUUCAUGAUUUUACCUCAGCCGUGAACUUCACAGUCCUGUUCGUGACUGUUACAUUUCACUUCCUCCCCUCUGGGCCAAGCAGACAUUCCUGGGUGGCCACUGUUCAGCCUUAGAAGGUAUUCAUCAAUUUUAUAUGAUCACAUUUCAGCAUUUGAGGUUCUGCAAGAAGAGUUCUGUUGUUGACACCAUUGGGUCAACUGGAGACUCCACAGAGUUGCCACAGAGCUGCAGUAUGGAGCAUUGGUUUCUUUCUUGAGUUGUGCUAACAAAAUUAAAGAUACGAAUUUAACUGGUCUCGAAUGGACUGUAUGAGUUAGCACUUGCCACAAUACUACUGCAAAACAAAACACCUCACAAUCAGUGUCUGCAACAAUAAACAUGUAUUUCCAACUCUCA